RNAcentral lists this ribosomal RNA (807 nucleotides) under uncultured Acidobacterium sp. RNAcentral describes it as "bacterial SSU rRNA". It matches the Rfam family "Bacterial small subunit ribosomal RNA", at positions 28 to 870 of the family's 1533-position model. The record is from RNAcentral. Lineage: Bacteria; Pseudomonadati; Acidobacteriota; Terriglobia; Terriglobales; Acidobacteriaceae.
AAUCAACGCUGGCGGCGCGCUUAACACAUGCAAGUCGAGCGAGAAAGGGAGCAAUCCUGAGUAAAGCGGCGUACGGGUGAGUAACACGUGGAUCAUAUACCUUUUAGUGGGGAAUACCCUUGGGAAACCGAGGACAAUACCGCAUAAUCCCGGGAGGGGAAAGCAGCAAUGCGCUGAAAGAGUAGUCCGCGGCUGAUUAGCUAGUUGGUAGGGUAAAGGCCUACCAAGGCUGUGAUCGGUAGCCGGCCUGAGAGGGCACACGGCCACACUGGCACUGAAACACGGGCCAGACUCCUACGGGAGGCAGCAGUGGGGAAUCUUGCACAAUGGACGAAAGUCUGAUGCAGCGACGCCGCGUGAGCGAUGAAGCCCUUCGGGGUGUAAAGCUCUUUCGACAGGAACGAUAAUGACGGUACCAGGAGAAGAAGCUGCGGCUAACUACGUGCCAGCAGCCGCGGUAAUACGUAGGCAGCAAGCGUUGUUCGGAAUUAAUGGGCGUAAAGCGUGCGUAGGCGGUGGCUCAAGUUUGGUGUGAAAUCUCCCGGCUCAACUGGGAGGGUGCGCCGAAAACUGAGUUGCUCGAGUGUGGGAGAGGUAGGCGGAAUUCCUGGUGUAGCGGUGAAAUGCGUAGAUAUCAGGAGGAACACCGGCGGUGUAGACGGCUUACUGGACCAUAACUGACGCUGAGGCACGAAAGUGUGGGGAGCAAACAGGAUUAGAUACCCUGGUAGUCCACACCCUAAACGAUGCAUACUUGGUGUGAGCCAUUCAUUUGGUUCGUGCCGGAGCUAACGCGUUAAGUAUGAC